CAGUCGCCGCGGGAAAACGUAGGGUGCAAGCGUUAAUCGGAAUUACUGGGCGUAAAGCGUGCGUAGGCGGUUUGUUAAGUCUGUUGUGAAAUCCCCGGGCUCAACCUGGGAAUGGCAAUGGAUACUGGCAAGCUAGAGUGUGUCAGAGGAUGGUGGAAUUCCCGGUGUAGCGGUGAAAUGCGUAGAGAUCGGGAGGAACAUCAGUGGCGAAGGCGGCCAUCUGGGACAACACUGACGCUGAGGCACGAAAGCGUGGGGAGCAAACAGGAUUAGAUACCCCAGUAGUCCCUGUCUCUUAUAC
This 301-nucleotide ribosomal RNA is filed under the name uncultured bacterium. RNAcentral describes it as "partial 16S ribosomal RNA". It matches the Rfam family "Bacterial small subunit ribosomal RNA", at positions 509 to 807 of the family's 1533-position model. The record is from RNAcentral.